GAUGAACGCUGGCGGCGUGCCUAAUACACGCAAGUCGAGCGAACGGACGAGAAGCUUGCUUCACUGAUGUUAGCGGCGGACGGGUGAGUAACACGUGGAUAACCUACCUAUAAGACUGGGAUAACGUCGGGAAACCGGAGCUAAUACCGGAUAAUAUUUUGAACCGCAUGGUUCAAAAGUUAAAGACGGUCUUGCUGUCACUUAUAGAUGGAUCCGCGCUGCAUUAGCGAGUUGGUAAGGUAACGGCUUACCAAGGCAACGAUGCAUAGCCGACCUGAGAGGGUGAUCGGCCACACUGGAACUGAGACACGGUACAGACUCCUACGGAAGGCAGCAGUAGGGAAUCUUCCGAAAUGGGCGGAAGCCUGCCGGAGCAGCGCCGCGUGAGUGAUGAAGGUCUUCGGAUCGUAAAACUCUGUUAUUAGGGAAGACCAUAUGUGUAAGUAACUGUGCACAUCUUGACGGUACCUAAUCAGAAAGCCACGGCUAACUACGUG
This 497-nucleotide ribosomal RNA is filed under the name uncultured bacterium. RNAcentral describes it as "partial 16S ribosomal RNA". It matches the Rfam family "Bacterial small subunit ribosomal RNA", at positions 28 to 507 of the family's 1533-position model. The record is from RNAcentral.